UGACAGAUUGAGAGCUCUUUCUUGAUUCGGUGGGUGGUGGUGCAUGGCCGUUCUUAGUUGGUGGAGCGAUUUGUCUGGUUAAUUCCGAUAACGAACGAGACUCUAGCCUGCUAAAUAGGUGGCGGAUUUAAAUUUUUAAACUUGGGUUCGGAGUUCGUCGGGAUCAGGGCCGGCGUUGUCUCGUCCCGGCUGAGCUCGUUUCGCGCUGUGGCGUAGGGGAAAGUUGGAGGCGGUUUCGGCCGUCUUUUGGCAAUUUUCUGCGUUGCUGUGUGUGGCGGGUGAGGUCGAAGGCGUGGAUGGCGUUGGUUCCCCGGCGGUCGGCUUCGUUCUCGCGUCCGUCACAAUUCUUCUUAGAGGGACAAGCGGCGUCCAGCCGCGUGACAGUGAGCAAUAACAGGUCUGUGAUGCCCUUAGAUGUCCUGGGCCGCACGCGCGCUACACUGAAGGAAUCAGCGUGUUUCUUUCUCCCUGUCUGAAAAGACCGGGUAACCGCUGAAACUCCUUCGUGGUUGG
RNAcentral lists this ribosomal RNA (513 nucleotides) under Podon leuckartii. Its description in RNAcentral is "bacterial SSU rRNA". It matches the Rfam family "Eukaryotic small subunit ribosomal RNA", at positions 1241 to 1574 of the family's 1831-position model. Lineage: Eukaryota; Metazoa; Arthropoda; Branchiopoda; Diplostraca; Podonidae. The record is from RNAcentral.